Molecule: long non-coding RNA, 2081 nt
Organism: Dalotia coriaria
Lineage: Eukaryota; Metazoa; Arthropoda; Insecta; Coleoptera; Staphylinidae
Exons: 4
Source: RefSeq, a predicted model, not a curated record
UGCAUAAACAUGCCAUCACUGUACAUUUUGGAUUGUAGUUAGCAUAUAGUAGUUAGUGCAUUGAAUGUAGACUAUAUACGCAUUACAUUGCACCGUGUGAUUACACCUUACUGCGCAGUAAUAUAUCCGCGAGGGGUCAGUUUAUUCUUUCGCGCACGCGGUUUAAGUCGAGUCGAGUUGAUCUUAUCGUGUCGUAGCAUGCAUCGUGAGGAUCGUGAGCUGUUAGCGUAGCGUGGUCGCGUAGUCACCGGUUGACCGUGUACGUUUUUCGCGACGCGGCGCCAUAUUUCUUGUGAAUAUUAUUUGAUUUCCAUCGAUCGUAAUUAAUAAUAAGUUAUAGUGACCAGGGCGUUUUAAUGGUAUCGUGUACUCAUGAUCCACCAGCUUGUGGCUGCUGCCAACCACAUGGGACAUCAGAUACAGUUCACCAUCGACGCAUUGUUACAGCAUUCGUUGUGCCUGGCGGUCUGAUAAGCUGUACACUGUAUUUGCCGUGCCUUGGAGUACGAUGUGAUCUGUAUUGUACUUUUUUUGAUUACCUGAUGCACUGGUAAGUUUGUAUAAGUUAUAACAUCAUAAUUACAUAUUUAUCUUAAAUCACAUGUGACGUGUGUACCGUAAUUACACAAAAUUGAUGCGUGCCGUCGGAUGCGACUUCGAUCUACCCGCAGAGUAUGGUCAUGUCAAUCAUCAGUUUAAUAACGUGAAUUUUUAAUUGCUCGCAUUUUCUUUUUAUUUCAUAAUUCUGCAUGUUCGUUGACGUAUUUUCUUAGUUUGGCAAUUAAUUAUUGCGAGUAAUAUAUUCUUUAAAGACGCAAAGAUAAUUUCGAGAUUGAGAUAAAAUUCAUAUUGAUGUUUUAUUUAUUAUAUAGCUUCCCUACCUUUCCAUUGCUUGACUCGUAUUCUGAAAGAAAUAGGUAUUAGUUUAAAUUUUCUUGGAUUUUUCUUCUAGCUCUUUAUUCUUAAAUUAAAAUGUAAUUGUAUUUUCGUUAUGUCACCCUCUCUAAUCGUGAAUUUAAUUCCAAGCAUGGAAAAUGUUGAAUUUUCUUAUUAAAGGUAGCGAUUUUCUUCUUGUAUCACCUUAUGUAUUACUGUUCCUUGCUUUCUAAUGUAAAAGUGACAAUUUGUCGUAUCCGGGUCAUUUUCUACUUAAACUUUGUAUUUUAUUUUUAAAUUUAGGAAUAUCCUGUUUGUAUCACCCAGUAUGUUUGUUUUUCUUGAUUUCCUAUUAUAAGUUUUCUAAAUUUGUUAUUCCAGUUGUUGUUUCCUUCUUUGAACAAUUUAUUUUCUUUUUGUAACACUCUGUAUAUUCGUUUUUCUUUGUUGUAUAUAUAUAUAUAUAUAUUUUAUGACCAUAUUUGUAGUUUUUCAAUUUUUUUUUGUAACACGCUGUAUACAAGUUUUUCCAAAAGUACGCAGGAAAUCGCCUAUAUUUGUGAGUUUUGAGUGUUCUUUGUUUUCAACAUGGGAUUUUCUUUCUGGAACACCUUGUAUAUUUGAUUUUCUUUGUGUCGGUGAAAAUUUUGCUUCCGCUGUUUUAAGGCGGUCUUUUUUGCACUUCGAAUUUGCAUUUUGUAUCACCCUGUUUAUUAGUUUUCCGGAGCAUCGGUUGAAAACUAGCAAUAUUUGUAGUGUUUAAAUGCUUUCGUCUUUGAACGUUGAAUUUUAUAUUUGUGACACCCUGUAUAAUCGUUUUCCUUCACAUCCUUGAUAAUUUAACUUUGACUUUUAUUAGAUUUUAGCUUCUGUCACUUUGAAUUUUCUUUCUGGAACACCCUGUAUAUUAGUUUUCCUGACCAUCGAGUGCAAACGAGCGGCGUUUGUAGUGUUGAAAGUUUUUUCUUUGCACUUUAAAUUUUCCUUUUGUAACACUCUGUAUAUUUGUUUUCAUUUUCAAUCACAUAGAAAAUUUAGCGAUUUUCUAAUUUCAUUAUCCCGGUAGUACUUUGCGAAGUGUAACUUGCUUGCAUGUGCGCGGCUAUGCAGGUCGUAAGUCCUGUUUCAAUAUGGCGACAUGUACUCUGUUGACUUGUAAAAUAUAAACUUGUAUUCUAUUGUUAAUAAAGAAAUAGUAAAAUAUA